UUAAAGUGGCGACUCCUCACUUUUGCCACUUUAGUGAGAAUUCAUUCGGCGACCGCAAAACCCUUGUGACAAUAUAAAAUGUUUAGAAAAUCAGCAACAAAUAAUAGUUCAUGCAUAAAAACCUAUAAACAAAUGUCUAUAACACCAUUACAAAACAGGUGGUAACUUGCUGUUGCUAUUGAACAUUACUCUUAAUAUCAAAUAUUUAUGAUGUUAAAACUUGUGCUUUGUUUAGGAAAUCAUACAAGGAAGGAAAGAAAAUAGCUUGUUAUUUUUACCCCUUUUGUUUGGAUGGGAGAAAAAUGAAUGUAAUGAAAUGAAAAUAUUUUUUUUUCUCAUUCGGAAAGAAAAGAAAAUAAAGAGGAGAAAGAAAAUACAUUAAAAUUUACAAUUUUUUCCUCUAUAUUUCUACAAAGAAUUUAAUAAUUGUGUCAUAAAUAUCUAUCAUAUUCCUUAUAACAAUGAAUUAAAAAUUGUAAUAACCAAUUAUUAUUCAUUUUAAUUGAAUAUUUUUUAUGCAAUAUAUUAAUUUAAUACUAAUUUAAUAAAUAGACUCCAUUUCUAUGUAAGCAAUGUACAAAGCGGACAGAAUUACCUUUGGAAGAAUCAUUGUCUCAGCAG
RNAcentral lists this unclassified non-coding RNA (621 nucleotides) under Hevea brasiliensis (rubber tree). The record is from RNAcentral. Lineage: Eukaryota; Viridiplantae; Streptophyta; Magnoliopsida; Malpighiales; Euphorbiaceae.